AGAGUUUGAUCCUGGCUCAGGAUGAACGCUAGCGACAGGCUUAACACAUGCAAGUCGAGGGGCAGCGGGGAGGUAGCAAUACUUCCGCCGGCGACCGGCGCACGGGUGAGUAACACGCAUGCAACCUGCCCUUGUCAGGGGGAUAAGCGGGAGAAAUUCCGUCUAAUACCGCAUAAUACCUUAUGGGGACAUCCUCAUGAGGUCAAAGAUUUAUCGGACAAGGAUGGGCAUGCGUCGCAUUAGUUAGUUGGCGGUGUAACGGACCACCAAGACGACGAUGCGUAGGGGUUCUGAGAGGAAGGUCCCCCACACUGGUACUGAGACACGGACCAGACUCCUACGGGAGGCAGCAGUGAGGAAUAUUGGUCAAUGGGCGGGAGCCUGAACCAGCCAAGUCGCGUGAGGGAAGACGGUCCUAAGGAUUGUAAACCUCUUUUGCCGGGGAGCAAAGAGCGGGACGCGUCCCGCCUCGAGAGUACCCGGAGAAAAAGCAUCGGCUAACUCCGUGCCAGCAGCCGCGGUAAUACGGAGGAUGCGAGCGUUAUCCGGAUUUAUUGGGUUUAAAGGGUGCGCAGGCGGAAGCGCAAGUCAGCGGUAAAAUUGAGAGGCUCAACCUCUUCCCGCCGUUGAAACUGCGUUUCUUGAGUGGGCGAGAAGUACGCGGAAUGCGUGGUGUAGCGGUGAAAUGCAUAGAUAUCACGCAGAACUCCGAUUGCGAAGGCAGCGUCCCGGCGCCCAACUGACGCUCAUGCACGAAAGCGUGGGUAUCGAACAGGAUUAGAUACCCUGGUAGUCCACGCAGUAAACGAUGAAUACUCGCUGUCCGGGGAGAUUGGUCUCUGGGCGGCCAAGCGAAAGCGUUAAGUAUUCCACCUGGGGAGUACGCCGGCAACGGUGAAACUCAAAGGAAUUGACGGGGGCCCGCACAAGCGGAGGAACAUGUGGUUUAAUUCGAUGAUACGCGAGAAACCUUACCCGGGCUCAAACGACGGAUGAAUACUUUUGAAAGGAGGUAGUCCUUCGGGACAUCCGUCGAGGUGCUGCAUGGUUGUCGUCAGCUCGUGCCGUGAGGUGUCGGCUUAAGUGCCAUAACGAGCGCAACCCCCAUCGCCAGUUGCCAACAGGUAAAGCUGGGAACUCUGGCGAGACUGCCGGCGCAAGCUGUGAGGAAGGCGGGGAUGACGUCAAAUCAGCACGGCCCUUACGUCCGGGGCGACACACGUGUUACAAUGGCAGGUACAGAGAGAUGCGACACGGCGACGUGGAGCGGAACUGUCAAAACCUGUCUCAGUUCGGAUCGGAGUCUGCAACCCGACUCCGUGAAGCUGGAUUCGCUAGUAAUCGCGCAUCAGCCAUGGCGCGGUGAAUACGUUCCCGGGCCUUGCACACACCACCCGUCA
Molecule: ribosomal RNA, 1400 nt
Filed under: uncultured bacterium
Lineage: Bacteria
Description: 16S ribosomal RNA
Rfam family: Bacterial small subunit ribosomal RNA
Source: RNAcentral